RNAcentral lists this transfer RNA (34 nucleotides) under Fitzingeria platyura. Its description in RNAcentral is "partial tRNA-Leu". Lineage: Eukaryota; Metazoa; Annelida; Clitellata; Crassiclitellata; Lumbricidae. The record is from RNAcentral.
AGUAAGUUGGCAGAAUAGUGCCACAGGUUUAAAC